GAUGAACGCUAGCGGCAGGCCUCAUACAUGCAAGUCGAGGGGCAGCAGGACACUUCGGUGUUGCUGGCGACCGGCGCACGGGUGCGUAACACGUAUGCAAUCUACCUUGUACUGGAGCAUAGCUCUCGGAAACGAGAAUUAAUACUCCAUAUUAUCCCAUUAGCGCAUGCUAGUGGGAUGAAAGCUCCGGCGGUACAAGAUGGGCAUGCGGCCCAUUAGCUAGUUGGUGAGGUAACGGCUCACCAAGGCGACGAUGGGUAGGGGUUUUGAGAGGAAGAUCCCCCACACUGGCACUGAAACACGGGCCAGACUCCUACGGGAGGCAGCAGUAGGGAAUAUUGGUCAAUGGGCGCAAGCCUGAACCAGCCAUGCCGCGUGCAGGAUGAAGGCCCUCUGGGUUGUAAACUGCUUUUAUAUGGGAAUAAAAAACCCUUGCGAGGGUUAUUGAAGGUACCAUAAGAAUAAGUACCGGCUAACUCCGUGCCAGCCGCCGCAGUAAGAC
Molecule: ribosomal RNA, 502 nt
Filed under: uncultured bacterium
Lineage: Bacteria
Description: bacterial SSU rRNA
Rfam family: Bacterial small subunit ribosomal RNA
Source: RNAcentral